CGGGGGGCCUACGGGAGGCAGCAGUGAGGAAUAUUGGACAAUGGAGGAAANUCUGAUCCAGCCAUGCCGCGUGCAGGAUGACUGCCCUAUGGGUUGUAAACUGCUUUUAUAUAGAAAGAAACUACUCCCACGUGUGGGGGCUUG
Molecule: ribosomal RNA, 144 nt
Filed under: uncultured Bacteroidota bacterium
Lineage: Bacteria; Pseudomonadati; Bacteroidota
Description: uncultured Bacteroidetes bacterium partial 16S ribosomal RNA
Rfam family: Bacterial small subunit ribosomal RNA
Source: RNAcentral